CCAACCCCCCAGAAGCCUCGGGAUUGCAGCUGUUUCAUGUGGGGCAGCAGUGCUGGCAGGGACGCCGGCCGGGAGCGGCCGGGAGCGGGAGCCGGGCGUGCGCGCGCGGCUGGAGGCUCGCUGGGGCUCCGCUCCUCUCGGGAGCUAUUGUUGGUCUCGCUGGAGCUGAGCGCAGAGCCGGGACCCUCUCCUUCCUGGGCGCCCUGCUCGGGCUCGCGGAGCCGAGGAGCCGCGCCGCCGAGCGCCAGAGGAGCCACCGGCGCGGCGCCGUGCCUCCCUGCCGCCCUCCUCCCCGCUUCCCCGGCGGUGGCAGCCUGCAGCCACGAUGGAAAAGCUGAGACUCAGAGAGGGCUAGUGAUCUCCUGGACACUCGGUCAGUAGAAAGGAUCCCGCCCUGUCCUCCAGGAUCCCAUGGCCCUGGAGAGAGGGCUGCAGGGCCCAGGGACACUGCUGACUCUUCAGAACGUGCUGACAUGGAGCCAGGUCAGUCCCCUUGUCUGCUCUGAUUUUCUGUGUCAUCAACUGCAAAGCUGUGGUCUUAAUGAGAAGUGCCAUCUUGGAAUCUGAAAUCGUGCAUGCUUUUUGGUUGAAGGCUUUUGCCACUAAGCAGCAUGGCAAGUAGAGGAGGUCAGCCCAAAGUGGAGGUGGCCUUCUCAGGGAGCAGAUACAGUAAGAGGAGUGCUGGGUGCUGGAAGCCAAGCCAACAGCCGGCACAGUGGGCAGUGGCAGGCAGGGCCCAGGCAUCCAGGUGGGAUGUGACGUGGGAGCUGGUGGCCAGGAAGCACCACGCAGGUCCAGGACCGCAGAGGCAACAGUAGCCGUCGGGAUCAUUCUGGGAUCCAGGAGAUCAGAGCUUGUGUCCAGAGUCUGAUGGUCACGUUUUGAGCUUAGCUGGGGUGGGAUCAGAGGCACAGUUGAGAGUGGGGCAGGAGGAGGUAAGUGGGUGGCUACUGGGACAGGUGGGCUGGAGGCCAGGUCCAGCCAGCCAGAGUGGCUCUCUGGAGGCUUUUCUUUAUAUUGCUGUGCAGAGGAACAAUGGAAAAAAUGGUACAAAACACCUGGGUUGCAUCAGAAAAGCAGGAGGAUGUUUCUAGCUAGAGAAAGUCGAAUCAUGAUGGAGGCUAGGUCAUGGUGAAGAAGGCUGAAGAAGCAGAGGAGCCAGGACGCAGGGAGUAAGCACCUUACUGAAAACCUACUAUGAACCGAACACGAUCUCUUAUCCUCCCAGCAGGCUUGCAGGGUGGACGCGGAGUCUCACUAGGCUUAGUUAUGCUCCAUGAGCAAGUGUAUUUCCUGCUCAUGCUACAUGUCUGACCAAGGGACGUAGAGGACUGUGCUCUACCUAGUGACUCGAGCCAGGCUGAUGAGAGCUCUGCUGUGUUUUGGGUACAACCUGCAGCCACCUUGGUCUCUGUAGCACAAGAAGAGAACCAGAAGAUUGAGCACUGGCCCUUAAAUGCUUUGGUCCAGAAGUGUCACACGGCCUAUGGGCCAGAAUGAGUCACAGGGUCCAGCCUGACUCCUCGGGCUCUGGGAAAUGUGGGGAAAAUACGGUUAUUUGAUGAGCAAUGAUAACUGCUUCUGCCACCGUAGAUAUUAUUUCUGUUUUACGGGCCAGAAAAUUGAGGCUCAGAGAAAUUAACUGUAUUGUCUGAGGUCUUCCAGCUAAAAAGUGCUGAAGC
Molecule: long non-coding RNA, 1682 nt
Organism: Panthera uncia (snow leopard)
Lineage: Eukaryota; Metazoa; Chordata; Mammalia; Carnivora; Felidae
Exons: 3
Source: RefSeq, a predicted model, not a curated record